CCCAGACUCCUACGGGAGGCAGCAGUGAGGAAUAUUGGUCAAUGGGCGGGAGCCUGAACCAGCCAAGUCGCGUGAGGGAAGAAGGUACUGAGUAUUGUAAACCUCUUUUGCCAGGGGACAAAGGCGGCCACGGGUGGCCGUAAGAGGGUACCUGGAGAAAAAGCAUCGGCUAACUCCGUGCCAGCAGCCGCGGUAAUACGGAGGAUCCGAGCGUUAUCCGGAUUUAUUGGGUUUAAAGGGAGCGUAGGUGGAUUGUUAAGUCAGUUGUGAAAGUUUGCGGCUCAACCGUAAAAUUGCAGUUGAAACUGGCAGUCUUGAGUACAGUAGAGGUGGGCGGAAUUCGUGGUGUAGCGGUGAAAUGCUUAGAUAUCACGAAGAACUCCGAUUGCGAAGGCAGUUCACUGGACUGCAACUGACACUGAGGCUCGAAAGUGUGGGUAUCAAACAGGAUUAGAUACCCGAGUAAC
Molecule: ribosomal RNA, 467 nt
Filed under: uncultured bacterium
Lineage: Bacteria
Description: bacterial SSU rRNA
Rfam family: Bacterial small subunit ribosomal RNA
Source: RNAcentral